This 31-nucleotide non-coding RNA is filed under the name Rattus norvegicus (Norway rat). The record is from RNAcentral. Lineage: Eukaryota; Metazoa; Chordata; Mammalia; Rodentia; Muridae.
UCCAAUGCCAGAGAAUCAACCAGAUUUAAGA